UCCGGAAGUUUUAAGGUUUCUUCUUCUCGCUCGCGCUCGCCAUCGGCGGUUCCUGAAAUCCUCUCAAGGGGCGAAGCCAUGAGUUUGAUCUCAACGCGCUUGCGGAUCCAAUCCACGGCUCCAGCAAGUGCAGGUCAGGGGAUUUCUCGGAGCCUCUCGAGCCAGAGCCAGAGCCAGGCCGGGAGUCGCCGGCUGAAUCGAUCCAGCCAUCUGUGCCUAGGGAGCAGUUUUCUAUCGUGGAGGUCUUAAAGAAAUCAAAUUGUUUUGUGCCUCAUGUCGCUCUCGCGGAUACUAUGCACCUGCACUCAGGUUUCUGAUGUUUGCUGUGAGGGUUAAUUCCAGCGAGAAGGACUUUCUCGAAGCGUUUAGGAGACCAGCUGCUAUUUUUGCUGGCUAUCUCGGCCAGUACAUUGUGAAGCCUCUUCUUGGUUUUUUCUUUGGCAUCAUGUCCGUAACAAUGUUUUCGCUCCAACGUCCAUUGGUGCUGGGAUUAUGCUGGUGUCUUGUGUGAGCGGGGCUCAGCUUUCUAAUUAUGCUACAUUUCUGACUGACCCAUCAAUGGCUCCUCUGAGUAUUGUCAUGACAUCAUUAUCUACCGCUACGGCUGUUUUUGUGACCCCUUUGUUGUCACUUCUUCUCAUUGG
Long non-coding RNA from Eucalyptus grandis, 644 nucleotides. RefSeq lists it as uncharacterized. The record is from RefSeq and is a predicted model, not a curated record. Lineage: Eukaryota; Viridiplantae; Streptophyta; Magnoliopsida; Myrtales; Myrtaceae. The transcript is spliced from 4 exons.